CGAAUGCUGACAUAAGUAACGAUAAAGCGGGUGAAAAGCCCGCUCGCCGGAAGACCAAGGGUUCCUGUCCAACGUUAAUCGGGGCAGGGUGAGUCGACCCCUAAGGCGAGGCCGAAAGGCGUAGUCGAUGGGAAACAGGUUAAUAUUCCUGUACUUGGUGUUACUGCGAAGGGGGGACGGAGAAGGCUAUGUUGGCCGGGCGACGGUUGUCCCGGUUUAAGCGUGUAGGCUGGUUUUCCAGGCAAAUCCGGAAAAUCAAGGCUGAGGCGUGAUGACGAGGCACUACGGUGCUGAAGCAACAAAUGCCCUGCUUCCAGGAAAAGCCUCUAAGCAUCAGGUAACAUCAAAUCGUACCCCAAACCGACACAGGUGGUCAGGUAGAGAAUACCAAGGCGCUUGAGAGAACUCGGGUGAAGGAACUAGGCAAAAUGGUGCCGUAACUUCGGGAGAAGGCACGCUGAUAUGUAGGUGAAGUCCCUCGCGGAUGGAGCUGAAAUCAGUCGAAGAUACCAGCUGGCUGCAACUGUUUAUUAAAAACACAGCACUGUGCAAACACGAAAGUGGACGUAUACGGUGUGACGCCUGCCCGGUGCCGGAAGGUUAAUUGAUGGGGUCAGCGCAAGCGAAGCUCUUGAUCGAAGCCCCGGUAAACGGCGGCCGUAACUAUAACGGUCCUAAGGUAGCGAAAUUCCUUGUCGGGUAAGUUCCGACCUGCACGAAUGGCGUAAUGAUGGCCAGGCUGUCUCCACCCGAGACUCAGUGAAAUUGAACUCGCUGUGAAGAUGCAGUGUACCCGCGGCAAGACGGAAAGACCCCGUGAACCUUUACUAUAGCUUGACACUGAACAUUGAGCCUUGAUGUGUAGGAUAGGUGGGAGGCUUUGAAGUGUGGACGCCAGUCUGCAUGGAGCCGACCUUGAAAUACCACCCUUUAAUGUUUGAUGUUCUAACGUUGACCCGUAAUCCGGGUUGCGGACAGUGUCUGGUGGGUAGUUUGACUGGGGCGGUCUCCUCCUAAAGAGUAACGGAGGAGCACGAAGGUUGGCUAAUCCUGGUCGGACAUCAGGAGGUUAGUGCAAUGGCAUAAGCCAGCUUGACUGCGAGCGUGACGGCGCGAGCAGGUGCGAAAGCAGGUCAUAGUGAUCCGGUGGUUCUGAAUGGAAGGGCCAUCGCUCAACGGAUAAAAGGUACUCCGGGGAUAACAGGCUGAUACCGCCCAAGAGUUCAUAUCGACGGCGGUGUUUGGCACCUCGAUGUCGGCUCAUCACAUCCUGGGGCUGAAGUAGGUCCCAAGGGUAUGGCUGUUCGCCAUUUAAAGUGGUACGCGAGCUGGGUUUAGAACGUCGUGAGACAGUUCGGUCCCUAUCUGCCGUGGGCGCUGGAGAACUGAGGGGGGCUGCUCCUAGUACGAGAGGACCGGAGUGGACGCAUCACUGGUGUUCGGGUUGUCAUGCCAAUGGCACUGCCCGGUAGCUAAAUGCGGAAGAGAUAAGUGCUGAAAGCAUCUAAGCACGAAACUUGCCCCGAGAUGAGUUCUCCCUGACUCCUUGAGA
This 1552-nucleotide ribosomal RNA is filed under the name Escherichia coli. RNAcentral describes it as "partial 23S ribosomal RNA". It matches the Rfam family "Bacterial large subunit ribosomal RNA", at positions 1291 to 2833 of the family's 2925-position model. Lineage: Bacteria; Pseudomonadati; Pseudomonadota; Gammaproteobacteria; Enterobacterales; Enterobacteriaceae. The record is from RNAcentral.